Molecule: long non-coding RNA, 614 nt
Filed under: Bos mutus (wild yak)
Lineage: Eukaryota; Metazoa; Chordata; Mammalia; Artiodactyla; Bovidae
Description: lncRNA (ENSBMUG00000019238.1)
Source: RNAcentral
CAACUUCCGGCCAGAAAGGAGCAGGCGCUUCCUGUGUGAGGGUCGGGGUGAGCCAGGUCCUAUCGGGUAGCUGAGCCCCAGCGUGCUGAGAUACCUCGAAUUGCAACUCCGAGACCUGGCUAACCUCUGAAUUGAAGGAGCAGUCGUUUCGGGUGGGUCCAGGCAGGGCGCUGAGAGGAAUCGGCCGUGGGGACAACUCUGGACCACAUUUCCCAGAGGGCCUGGCGGCCUGUCACUCUUCUCGCGGGAACUCGAAAUUUUCAUCACGCCUGGCGGGACCGUUAGAUUCGUGAGGCCAGAGAUCGUGGGCCCCUGGGGACCUGGUUCAGCUGUGCAGUUCUACCCUUCUCCAGGUGAGGCUCAAAAGAGAAAGAAAGAAUGCAUGAUGAACUUCUGCAAACAGUGUCCAAGUGGCAUCUCUCUUGAUCACCAAAGAACUGGAUCUGAUUUCUGGGACACCAACAGCAUAACCAUGUCCCGUGUCUUUUCUUGUGAUCAGGACUUUCUAGUUCUAAACCGGCUGUGAUCUCCCUUUUGGAACAAGGAAAAGAGCCCUGGAUGAUUGACAGAGAACUGACCAGAGGCCUUUGUUCAGGUAAGCAAGAGAUGAUAGU